This 1081-nucleotide ribosomal RNA is filed under the name Escherichia coli. RNAcentral describes it as "partial 23S ribosomal RNA". It matches the Rfam family "Bacterial large subunit ribosomal RNA", at positions 139 to 1259 of the family's 2925-position model. The record is from RNAcentral. Lineage: Bacteria; Pseudomonadati; Pseudomonadota; Gammaproteobacteria; Enterobacterales; Enterobacteriaceae.
UUCGACACACUAUCAUUAACUGAAUCCAUAGGUUAAUGAGGCGAACCGGGGGAACUGAAACAUCUAAGUACCCCGAGGAAAAGAAAUCAACCGAGAUUCCCCCAGUAGCGGCGAGCGAACGGGGAGCAGCCCAGAGCCUGAAUCAGUGUGUGUGUUAGUGGAAGCGUCUGGAAAGGCGCGCGAUACAGGGUGACAGCCCCGUACACAAAAAUGCACAUACUGUGAGCUCGAUGAGUAGGGCGGGACACGUGGUAUCCUGUCUGAAUAUGGGGGGACCAUCCUCCAAGGCUAAAUACUCCUGACUGACCGAUAGUGAACCAGUACCGUGAGGGAAAGGCGAAAAGAACCCCGGCGAGGGGAGUGAAAAAGAACCUGAAACCGUGUACGUACAAGCAGUGGGAGCCUCUUUAUGGGGUGACUGCGUACCUUUUGUAUAAUGGGUCAGCGACUUAUAUUCUGUAGCAAGGUUAACCGAAUAGGGGAGCCGAAGGGAAACCGAGUCUUAACUGGGCGUUAAGUUGCAGGGUAUAGACCCGAAACCCGGUGAUCUAGCCAUGGGCAGGUUGAAGGUUGGGUAACACUAACUGGAGGACCGAACCGACUAAUGUUGAAAAAUUAGCGGAUGACUUGUGGCUGGGGGUGAAAGGCCAAUCAAACCGGGAGAUAGCUGGUUCUCCCCGAAAGCUAUUUAGGUAGCGCCUCGUGAAUUCAUCUCCGGGGGUAGAGCACUGUUUCGGCAAGGGGGUCAUCCCGACUUACCAACCCGAUGCAAACUGCGAAUACCGGAGAAUGUUAUCACGGGAGACACACGGCGGGUGCUAACGUCCGUCGUGAAGAGGGAAACAACCCAGACCGCCAGCUAAGGUCCCAAAGUCAUGGUUAAGUGGGAAACGAUGUGGGAAGGCCCAGACAGCCAGGAUGUUGGCUUAGAAGCAGCCAUCAUUUAAAGAAAGCGUAAUAGCUCACUGGUCGAGUCGGCCUGCGCGGAAGAUGUAACGGGGCUAAACCAUGCACCGAAGCUGCGGCAGCGACGCUUAUGCGUUGUUGGGUAGGGGAGCGUUCUGUAAGCCUGCGAAGGUGU